Molecule: RNA transcript, 1513 nt
Organism: Zea mays
Lineage: Eukaryota; Viridiplantae; Streptophyta; Magnoliopsida; Poales; Poaceae
Gene name: receptor-like protein kinase pseudogene
Exons: 2
Source: RefSeq, marked validated
CAAUUCUCUAUCUGGAGAGAUCCCAGAGGACUUUGGCAGGCUGAAGAAACUGACACAGUUGGACCUUUCAGAUAACCAUCUCAGUGGGAACAUUCCUGAGGAGCUUGGGGAGAUCGUCGAGAUAAACACGCUUGAUCUGUCACACAAUGAGCUUUCCGGUCAGUUGCCCGUGCAGUUGGGGAAUCUCAGACUGGCUCGUUUCAACAUAUCCUAUAACAAGCUCUCAGGGCCUAUACCCAGUUUCUUCAAUGGCUUGGAGUACCGAGACAGCUUCUUGGGCAACCCUGGCCUGUGCUAUGGGUUCUGCCGUAGCAAUGGCAAUUCUGAUGGCAGACAGAGCAAGAUUAUCAAGAUGGUGGUCACCAUCAUAGGUGUCAGUGGGAUCAUCCUACUCACUGGCAUCGCUUGGUUCGGAUACAAGUACAGGAUGUACAAGAUCAGUGCUGCUGAAUUGGAUGAUGGAAAAUCUAGUUGGGUGCUGACAUCCUUCCACAAGGUGGAUUUUAGCGAGAGGGCCAUUGUCAAUAACCUUGAUGAGAGCAACGUGAUUGGCCAGGGUGGCGCAGGCAAGGUGUACAAGGUGGUUGUUGGGCCACAGGGUGAGGCCAUGGCUGUCAAGAAGCUCUGGCCUAGCGGUGCGGCGAGCAAAAGCAUAGACUCGUUUAAGGCUGAGGUUGCCAUGCUAAGCAAAGUUCGGCACAGGAACAUUGUAAAGCUUGCGUGCAGCAUCACAAACAACGGCAGCAGGUUGCUUGUCUACGAGUACAUGGCAAAUGGUAGCCUGGGGGAUGUGCUCCACAGUGAGAAACGCCACAUCUUGGAUUGGCCCAUGAGGUAUAAGAUUGCUGUUAACGCUGCUGAAGGACUCUCAUACCUGCACCAUGACUGUAAGCCCGUGAUCGUCCAUCGAGAUGUGAAGUCGAACAACAUCUUGCUCGACGCGGAGUAUGGUGCCAAGAUUGCAGAUUUUGGUGUUGCAAGGACUAUUGGGGAUGGCCCGGCUACCAUGUCCAUGAUUGCAGGGUCUUGUGGAUACAUUGCUCCUGAGUAUGCCUACACUCUCCAUGUCACUGAAAAGAGUGACAUAUAUAGCUUUGGUGUGGUGAUCCUUGAGCUCGUUACCGGAAAGAAGCCGCUGGCAGCAGAGAUUGGCGAGAUGGACCUGGUGGCGUGGGUGACUGCCAAAGUUGAGCAGUACGGGCUAGAGUCUGUGCUUGACCAGAACCUCGACGAGCAGUUCAAGGACGAGAUGUGCAUGGUUCUGAAAAUCGGGCUGCUCUGUGUCUCAAACCUUCCAACCAAACGCCCGUCAAUGAGGUCCGUGGUGAUGCUGCUGCUGGAGGUCAAGGAAGAGAACAAGCCAAAGCUGAAGGCGGUGGCAACUCUGCCCAUCUGACCUGGAGGAGGCGACCCCAUCUGAUCAAUAAUAACAAAUAAAAGUAGUGUCUGUUCUUCUUGGGAUAGUGUACUAAAAAAACUAUUUGCAUUAUAUCUGAUCUUGAGAAGUUCAUUC